This 450-nucleotide ribosomal RNA is filed under the name uncultured bacterium. RNAcentral describes it as "bacterial SSU rRNA". It matches the Rfam family "Bacterial small subunit ribosomal RNA", at positions 29 to 524 of the family's 1533-position model. The record is from RNAcentral.
AACAAACGCUGGCGGCAUGCCUAACACAUGCAAGUCGAACGAGACCUUCGGGUCUAGUGGCGCACGGGUGCGUAACGCGUGGGAAUCUGCCCUUGGGUUCGGAAUAACAGUUAGAAAUGACUGCUAAUACCGGAUAAUGUCUUCGGACCAAAGAUUUAUCGCCCAGGGAUGAGCCCGCGUAGGAUUAGCUAGUUGGUGAGGUAAAGGCUCACCAAGGCGACGAUCCUUAGCUGGUCUGAGAGGAUGAUCAGCCACACUGGGACUGAGACACGGCCCAGACUCCUACGGGAGGCAGCAGUGGGGAAUAUUGGACGAUGGGCGAAAGCCCGAUCCAGCAAUGCCGCGUGAGUGAUGAAGGCCUUAGGGUUGUAAAGCUCUUUUACCCGGGAUGAUAAUGACAGUACCGGGAGAAUAAGCCCCGGCUAACUCCGUGCCAGCAGCCGCGGUAAU